RNAcentral lists this ribosomal RNA (501 nucleotides) under uncultured Serratia sp. Its description in RNAcentral is "bacterial SSU rRNA". It matches the Rfam family "Bacterial small subunit ribosomal RNA", at positions 8 to 524 of the family's 1533-position model. Lineage: Bacteria; Pseudomonadati; Pseudomonadota; Gammaproteobacteria; Enterobacterales; Yersiniaceae. The record is from RNAcentral.
AGAGUUUGAUCAUGGCUCAGAUUGAACGCUGGCGGCAGGCUUAACACAUGCAAGUCGAGCGGUAGGAGAGCUUGCUCUCUACGAGCGGCGGACGGGUGAGUAAUGUCUGGGAAACUGCCUGAUAGAGGGGGAUAACUACUGGAAACGGUGGCUAAUACCGCAUAAUGUCGCAAGACCAAAGAGGUUCGUCUUGCCAUCAGAUGUGCCCAGAUGGGAUUAGCUAGUAGGUGGGGUAAUGGCUCACCUAGGCGACGAUCCCUAGCUGGUCUGAGAGGAUGACCAGCCACACUGGAACUGAGACACGGUCCAGACUCCUACGGGAGGCAGCAGUGGGGAAUAUUGCACAAUGGGCGCAAGCCUGAUGCAGCCAUGCCGCGUGUAUGAAGAAGGCCUUAGGGUUGUAAAGUACUUUCAGCGAGGAGGAAGGCGUUUGUUAAUGCAACGGUUGACGUUACUCGCAGAAGAAGCACCGGCUAACUCCGUGCCAGCAGCCGCGGUAAU